GAGUUUGAUCCUGGCUCAGAUUGAACGCUGGCGGCAUGCCUUACACAUGCAAGUCGAACGGUAACAGGGAGCUUGCUCCGCUGACGAGUGGCGAACGGGUGAGUAAUAUAUCGGAACGUACCAUUCAGUGGGGGAUAACGUAGCGAAAGUUACGCUAAUACCGCAUAUUCUGUGAGCAGGAAAGCAGGGGAUCGCAAGACCUUGCGCUGAUUGAGCGGCCGAUAUCAGAUUAGCUUGUUGGUGAGGUAAAAGCUCACCAAGGCGACGAUCUGUAGCGGGUCUGAGAGGAUGAUCCGCCACACUGGAACUGAGACACGGUCCAGACUCCUACGGGAGGCAGCAGUGGGGAAUUUUGGACAAUGGGGGCAACCCUGAUCCAGCCAUGCCGCGUGAGUGAAGAAGGCCUUCGGGUUGUAAAGCUCUUUCAGCCGGGAAGAAAACGCAUGGGUUAAUACCCUGUGUGGAUGACGGUACCGGAAUAAGAAGCACCGGCUAACUACGUGCCAGCAGCCGCGGUAAUACGUAGGGUGCGAGCGUUAAUCGGAAUUACUGGGCGUAAAGCGUGCGCAGGCGGUUUUGUAAGACAGGCAUAAAAUCCCCGGGCUUAACCUGGGAACUGCGUUUGUGACUGCAAGGCUAGAGUACGGCAGAGGGGGGUGGAAUUCCACGUGUAGCAGUGAAAUGCGUAGAGAUGUGGAGGAACACCAAUGGCGAAGGCAGCCCCCUGGGUCGAUACUGACGCUCAUGCACGAAAGCGUGGGUAGCAAACAGGAUUAGAUACCCUGGUAGUCCACGCCCUAAACGAUGUCAACUAGGUGUUGGGAGGGUAAAACCUUUUAGUACCGGAGCUAACGCGUGAAGUUGACCGCCUGGGGAGUACGGCCGCAAGGUUAAAACUCAAAGGAAUUGACGGGGACCCGCACAAGCGGUGGAUGAUGUGGAUUAUUCGAUGCAACGCGAAAAACCUUACCUACCCUUGACAUGCCAAGAACUUUCCAGAGAUGGAUUGGUGCCCGAAAGGGAACUUGGACACAGGUGCUGCAUGGCUGUCGUCAGCUCGUGUCGUGAGAUGUUGGGUUAAGUCCCGCAACGAGCGCAACCCUUGUCGUUAAUUGCCAUCAUUUAGUUGGGCACUUUAACGAGACUGCCGGUGACAAACCGGAGGAAGGUGGGGAUGACGUCAAGUCCUCAUGGCCCUUAUGGGUAGGGCUUCACACGUCAUACAAUGGUCGGUACAAAGGGUCGCCAAGCCGCGAGGUGGAGCCAAUCCCAGAAAGCCGAUCGUAGUCCGGAUCGCAGUCUGCAACUCGACUGCGUGAAGUCGGAAUCGCUAGUAAUCGUGGAUCAGAAUGUCACGGUGAAUACGUUCCCGGGUCUUGUACACACCGCCCGUCACACCAUGGGAGCGGGUUCCGCCAGAAGUAGGUAGCCUAACCGCAAGGAGGGCGCUUACCACGGCGGGGUUCGUGACUGGGGUGAAGUCGGAACAAGGUA
This 1494-nucleotide ribosomal RNA is filed under the name metagenome. RNAcentral's name for it is "bacterial SSU rRNA". It matches the Rfam family "Bacterial small subunit ribosomal RNA". The record is from RNAcentral.